RNAcentral lists this ribosomal RNA (439 nucleotides) under uncultured Bacteroidales bacterium. Its description in RNAcentral is "bacterial SSU rRNA". It matches the Rfam family "Bacterial small subunit ribosomal RNA", at positions 293 to 727 of the family's 1533-position model. Lineage: Bacteria; Pseudomonadati; Bacteroidota; Bacteroidia; Bacteroidales. The record is from RNAcentral.
UGAGAGGAAGGUCCCCCACAUUGGAACUGAGACACGGUCCAAACUCNUACGGGAGGCAGCAGUGAGGAAUAUUGGUCAAUGGACGAUGGCCUGGACCAGCCAAGUAGCGUGAAGGAUGACUGCCCUAUGGGUUGUAAACUUCUUUUAUAAAGGAAUAAAGUCGUGGUAUGCAUACCCGUUUGCAUGUACUAUAUGAAUAAGGAUCGGCUAACUCCGUGCCAGCAGCCGCGGUAAUACGGAGGAUCCGAGCGUUAUNCCGGAUUUAUUGGGUUUAAAGGGAGCGUAGAUGGAUGUUUAAGUCAGUUGUGAAAGUUUGCGGCUCAACCGUAAAAUUGCAGUUGAUANCUGGAUGUCUUGAGUGCAGUAGAGGCAGGCGGAAUUCUGGUGUAGCGGUGAAAUGCUUAGAUAUCACGAAGAACUCCGAUUGCGAAGGCAGCUU